AUAUAAGUAAGCGGCGGACAAUAAACUAAACAGGACCCCCAUAGUAAUGGCGAAUGAGCAGGGAUGAGCUCAGCAUGGAAAUUGGGGCCUGUGGCCUUGACUUGUAGGCUGGUGAGGCAUUGCCAACAGAGGCGCAGAUGUAAGUCUUUUUGGAAAAGAGCAUCAAUGAGGGUGAGAAUCCUGCUUGCCAUUUGCAGACCCCUGUGCACGGUGUGCCCAUAGCGAGUCACGUUCCUUGGGAUUGGAGCGCAAAGUGGGUGGUAACUUUCAUCUGAAGCUAAAUAUUGGUUUAAGACCGAUAGGAAACAAGUACCAUGAGGGAAAGGUGAAAAGGACUUUGGAAAGAGAGUUAAAAGUGCCUGAAAUUGCUGAAAGGGAAGCGAAUGGAACCAGUGUGCCCGGGUGAGAUUGUCAUAUGCUAUAAUGAUUGGUUGCUGCUUCAUCGCAAGUGUUCUCGCAAUCAUUGAUCUAUGAGUGUGUGGUGUGUCUUGCCUUGAAUGUCAUCACGGGCUUCUGCAUUACGACAAUUCAAAGUUCAGGGUAUUAUGUUUGCGACGGUAUGAAUGUGCUUUGCUAUGCUUAUGCAUGAGCUUCUUUUGCUGGUGUAGCUGCUGUGUGCUGUCCCCAACCUAGGGAAGCACACACCAUUUC
This 651-nucleotide ribosomal RNA is filed under the name uncultured dinophysoid. RNAcentral describes it as "LSU rRNA". It matches the Rfam family "Eukaryotic large subunit ribosomal RNA", at positions 40 to 618 of the family's 3401-position model. Lineage: Eukaryota; Dinophyceae; Dinophysales; Dinophysaceae. The record is from RNAcentral.